This 243-nucleotide long non-coding RNA is filed under the name Parus major (Great Tit). Its description in RNAcentral is "lncRNA (ENSPMJG00000000503.1)". Lineage: Eukaryota; Metazoa; Chordata; Aves; Passeriformes; Paridae. The record is from RNAcentral.
AUUAUCUCACUGUGAUGCUCCAAGCCCUUCAGGAUCUGUUUUUACAAGAAUGUGAAGAAAGAAGGCAAAGUCCAGAAAAUGUCAAAAAUUGAGAGAACUGGAAGGACACAAACAGAGCAGUGUAAGGUUGUUGAAUCCUGGUUGACUGCUGGACAGAGAAAGUGAUUGGAGGACAUGACUAAAAUCACCGGGCUGUGAAAGGGACAAGAACCAAGACCUCUGGACUAUUGUGUGGCACCAACA